Molecule: ribosomal RNA, 460 nt
Filed under: uncultured bacterium
Lineage: Bacteria
Description: partial 16S ribosomal RNA
Rfam family: Bacterial small subunit ribosomal RNA
Source: RNAcentral
CCUACGGGAGGCAGCAGUGAGGAAUAUUGGUCAAUGGGCGCGAGCCUGAACCAGCCAAGUCGCGUGAGGGAGGACGGCCCUACGGGUUGUAAACCUCUUUUGCCGGGGAGCAACGGGCGUCACGUGUGGCGCCACUGAGAGUACCCGGAGAAAAAGCAUCGGCUAACUCCGUGCCAGCAGCCGCGGUAAUACGGAGGAUGCGAGCUUUAUCCGGAUUUAUUGGGUUUCAAGGGUGCGUAGUGGGAUCGUUAAUUCAGUGGUCAAAUGGAGGGCCUCAACCCCUUCCCGCCAUUGAAACUGGCGCUCUUGAGUGGAAGAGAAGUAUGCGGAAUGCGUGGUGUAGCGGUGAAAUGCAUAGAUAUCACGCAGAACUCCGAUUGCGAAGGCAGCAUACCGGCGCCCGACUGACGCUGAAGCACGAAAGCGUGGGUAUCGAACAGGAUUAGAUACCCUUGUAGUC